AAGCCCUUUUAUUAGUGAUUGGGAUAUUUUCCUCAGGCACUAAGAAAGGGUUUCU
RNAcentral lists this microRNA precursor (55 nucleotides) under Sarcophilus harrisii (Tasmanian devil). RNAcentral describes it as "Sha-Mir-7373-o3_pre stem-loop". Lineage: Eukaryota; Metazoa; Chordata; Mammalia; Dasyuromorphia; Dasyuridae. The record is from RNAcentral.